CUGAUGCAGGGAACUCCCCACAAAGUGGCGAAUGCAUGCUGGUGCUGGGUUAAACGUUAGGAAGGGUCCUCACCCCUGUGGUGGGGAGAGAGAUGAGGUAGAAACGAGAUCCGAAGCGGCAUACGAUGCAUGUCGUGGAUGGCGUUUUACCUGCUUUCCCCUACGUUACCUACUUUCCUGCUAAGGCAUUGUUGACGGAGUACGCAGGCGGGUUGGGCGAUCAAGUGAGUUGCUGAGAGGAGACCGAAAUGAAAAAAACCCCUCCACAGGGCUAGGAAAGACUGGAGGGUUGGAACAAGCCGAGGCGAGGAUAGAUUUACCUUGCAUAUGUAUAUGUACGCAGUAUGUGGCCAGAUAUGCGACCAGCAGCAACCCGGUGAUGGCUUUCUUGGUGAAUGUCGCUGUUAUCAACUUUUAUGCCGAAACAAAAUUUUGGGCUGGGAUUGUGGAAGAGAAAUGACCAUCCUGUGUGGAAAGGGAGAUGCUAUGGAGGAAAAUUGGCAUCGUAUAUUAUUGACU
RNAcentral lists this small RNA (519 nucleotides) under Histoplasma capsulatum var. duboisii H88. Its description in RNAcentral is "Histoplasma capsulatum H88 hypothetical RNA". The record is from RNAcentral. Lineage: Eukaryota; Fungi; Ascomycota; Eurotiomycetes; Onygenales; Ajellomycetaceae.